RNAcentral lists this long non-coding RNA (384 nucleotides) under Zalophus californianus (California sea lion). RNAcentral describes it as "lncRNA (ENSZCAG00015023580.1)". Lineage: Eukaryota; Metazoa; Chordata; Mammalia; Carnivora; Otariidae. The record is from RNAcentral.
AUGUGCCUGGUUCUGAGAGCUACUGCUGUUGUUCCAUUUUACAGAUGUGGACCGGUCACCAUGAGCCCAGGGCCGUGCAGCUUGUGCAUGUUGGAACCACAUCCUGACAUAAAUCAGUGGCCCAGACUCUGUCCCUCCCGGAGGAAAGUACAAAGGGACAGCGUGCCACAAAAACAUUGGUACGGAACCAUCAGAACCAUCCCUGGCUGUGAAAUGCGGGAGGGCCAUGCCAGCGCAUCCCAAGGGAAGAAAUCCUGUGAGCGCCGAGGUGGUGAAGACCAGGCAUCCAGACCUGCCAGUGGACUUGGGAGAACACCGCUCUCCUAUUCCGUCAGUGGAGACGUGUGUCUUGGUGAAGGGAUCAUCAACAGCCCCGGAGUGGAU